Long non-coding RNA from Marmota monax (woodchuck), 1296 nucleotides. RefSeq lists it as uncharacterized. Lineage: Eukaryota; Metazoa; Chordata; Mammalia; Rodentia; Sciuridae. The transcript is spliced from 2 exons. The record is from RefSeq and is a predicted model, not a curated record.
UCCGCGCUAAGAAUCCGGAUAUAAAACCCUACAUCCGGGGACGGAGUACGGAGCGUCGUGACGUAACUUCCGGGCCCGUGGGGGCGGUGCCCGUUGAAACUAAAGGCGAGUGAUUUGCCGGGCUUGAUCUGCGGUCAAUGUUGUAACGGAGCAGUUCUCGGAACUUGCUGGCGAGGGAAACAAAGGGAAUGGGUUAUUCUUUUCGUGUGCGCGGUUCCCAGAGCUGGUUCACUAUGGGCCCAAAGUUGGGUGAAUAAAUAAUAUUUUUGUCUCUUCCUUGUUGCUGUUUGAUUAGUGGAGGGCUCAUAGGCCGGUUUUACUUUUCUCAACCAUGAUGUGAAUUAUUUCCCAGGUCCCCUUUUGGUCUUAGAAAUGUUUAAUUUGGAGACUAAGCAUCCUGAUAGGACAGGAUAAGUGGGGGAGAAGAACAAGCACACAAGUUUAUAUUUGAUGCUAGAUUGUGAUUUUGAAGCCAGUUCCAGACUUCCUCAAACCAAAUUUUUAAAGAAGAAAAAACAUGUAAGAACAUACUGGCAAAAACUUUCUUUAAAACUUCCUCACCAACUAUAGUUGCUUGGUAAUAUCACUUGGGCGAGUGAAAUGCGAAGAUUUCAGGGACUCCCCCAAAACUACGCUUUUUUGUUUUGGAAAAGUUUUUUUUUUUUAAGCCAGAGUUAAAAGUAAACAUCAACUUAAUUUAUUAAUUCAUCAAACGUUUACAAGCGACAGACUUAUGCCCAGCAUUCUAUUCUUGCAUUUCUUUCGGAACUCAGGAACACGUGUACCCGAAAGCAACCCCCCGUAGGCGCCGUUUAAGCCGGCCGGCGAGGAAGGAACAGACAGCUCAGCGGCGGAAAUAGACCCCCGGAAGCCUUCCGAGGUCUAGGGAGGCGCAUGCGUGCUAGCGUCCUUGGGCCGGCGUGGACGGAUCUGAUGUGCUGCCCGACUUACGGUUCCGGCUGUGCCCGCCUGCUGUCGCGGAGCGCUUCCUGCUUCUUUCCGUUGGUGCCAGCGCGGCCCGCCGCCUACCCAAUGCCUUUUCUCUCGCGCGCGGAGUUCCCGGCCCGUACUCUUCUACCCCUCAGGGCAGCGGCGCACUUGCCACCGUCUCGGUGAGGCUGUUUUUCCGCAGUCGCCUGUCGGCACCGAGUAGUAGGUCUGGUGCAAUUAUGAAGAUCAUACAAAGCAAAAGGAAAAAACCCACCCUCCAUUCCUCACAUUGAACCAACAUUAAUAUGUUCGCUUGUUUGGCUUUUUUUCAUAUGAAAUAUUAAAUUGUCUUGCUUUCAUGUAAAA